RNAcentral lists this ribosomal RNA (468 nucleotides) under uncultured bacterium. RNAcentral's name for it is "partial 16S ribosomal RNA". It matches the Rfam family "Bacterial small subunit ribosomal RNA", at positions 28 to 507 of the family's 1533-position model. The record is from RNAcentral.
GACGAACGCUGGCGGCGUGCUUAACACAUGCAAGUCGAACGGUAAGCCUCUUCUUUUGUGGUGUGUUCGAGUCGCGUACGUGUCACUAACACGUCAUUCACCCGCCUUUGGCUUUACUAUAACUUCUUGAAACUGGUACUAAUUCUUCAUCGCUUCUCCCGCUGCUUGUUGUGGGUUGGAUUUUUUCGUCGGUUGGGGAUGGACUCGCGGCUUAUCAGCUUGUUGGUGGGGUAGUGGCUUACCAAGGCCGUGACGGGUAGCCGGCCUGAGAGGGUGACCGGCCACAUUGGGACUGAGAUACGGCCCAGACUCCUACGGGAGGCAGCAGUGGGGAAUAUUGCACAAUGGGCGGAAGCCUGAUGCAGCAACGCCGCGUGCGGGAUGACGGCCUUCGGGUUGUAAACCGCUUUCGCCUGUGACGAAGCGUGAGUGACGGUAAUGGGUAAAGAAGCACCGGCUAACUACGUG